RNAcentral lists this long non-coding RNA (2652 nucleotides) under Octopus sinensis (East Asian common octopus). RNAcentral describes it as "uncharacterized LOC118761619, transcript variant X2". The record is from RNAcentral. Lineage: Eukaryota; Metazoa; Mollusca; Cephalopoda; Octopoda; Octopodidae.
CAUAUAGCCACAUUUGCACUCACAUUAAACAUAUUGACACACACACACACACACACACACACACACACACACACACACACGUACACGUUGAAAAACAAACGCAUUCACAUAAUAUUACAAACAUAUUGGCAUACACCGUACACUUUACACGUACACACAGAAUCGUAUUGACUCUUAUGAACACACACACACACAUACACACGCCCAUAAACAGAAGCACUUUUACACCUCAACCAAACGUACAUAUAUAUAAUAUAUAAUGUUCUACCAAGGACGAAUUCAGAAGUAUCCAUCUAAGGGUUAUUCCUGCCGCCAAUAUUAGAAUGGAUCUUUAGAUUUCAAAUACUUGCCGUCCAUCACCUUCUGUCCAAAUAUAUCCAGCGAAUACUGCGCAGUUCUUCUUUAAACUUGGCCAAGAAUCGAACCUGAGACCACGGAAUGCUGUCAAUGACUCGAAGUGGGGAGCACUGGACACUCCCAACUUUAGUAGUAUUGAUAGAAUCGAUACAGUAGAACACAGUGAUGGAGAACUUUAACACUUUAAUCCCCUAACCCCGAAUAUUGUGAACAUUUAAGGUUUUGAAUUGUCUGGUCAUUGCAUGAACUACAGUGUGAACUAAUUAUAUUUAAUGGGACCCCUGUACUGUUGUCCAAAAUUAAAAAAAAAAACAUUAAAACAAUUUUAAAUGGAACGUCAUAUAAAUUUAGAAACUUCGAGAGAACGUGAAAUAAUUCGUUUUUAACUGUAGAACUCUGAGUGUAACACUAAGUGGUUACAGCUAUAAAUAAUUGCAUGUAAAUAUUGAGUUAAAAAAAUAUCUUGGAUAGAAAAUUGACCAACGCUGCCUGUGGGUCUUGAACCCACAUCGUUUGUAAACAUAACAGACGUUCUAUCGCUGGACCAAAACUUUAUUUAUGACACUCUACAGUACGAAUCCCAGAAUUUUUUUUUAUGGCAUCCUGAAGUUUCCCGGAAUCUACUUUGGAAACGUACGUAUUUACGCAUAAUACCAUGGGAUAUUCGAUAUCGAGUUAUCAAGUACCCGAGAACGAUGGAUUAUUGUUACGGAAUGCUCGAGCCAGGAUACAAACGGGUACUAGAUACUCCGACUGGCUACAUCAUAUAGCCAAAAUCUCAAAAUAGUGGUGAAAAGAAUAUUUCCGAUAUAUAUAUAUAUAUCUCCAUUUUCUUAUUUUGUAUAUAUAUAUAUAUAUAUAAUAUAUAUAUAUAUAUAUAUAUAUAUAUAUAUACAUACAUAUAUAUAUAUGUACCUAUGUAUGAUUCUCGAAGUAUCCCACAUUUUGAAACAAGUGAAAGUAGGUGACUCUGGGUUGUGCUGCUAUUUGAUGAUAAUUCUGAGAAUUGGGACAUUAAAUGUUUCUGGUUUUUUGGGGGUAAUGAAAUGCAUUGUUGAGAAUUAUUGCCGAUUUGUUUCGCAUAGGGGUUUGCAAAAACAAAAAAAAUAAAAAAGGUGGGGAGAGGCAAUAUUUAUUUAUUUAUUGCCAACGAAGAAAGUUGUUAAUUUUCUAAAAGUGUGUUAGUUUAGAACCGAGUUGGAAGAACUCUAAAAGAAUCCUAAAUCAGAUCGAUUGUGCGAUGUUUUGUACGAUUACAUCUUAGCAUUAACGAGAAAGGUAGAUAAAUAGAUUAAGAAUGAGAGAGAGAGACAGACAGACAGACAGAGAGUGAACGAGAGAGAAUGAUAGAGAACGAACGUGAAUGCUAGAGAAAAACGAGACAGUAUACGCGUAAAUGGAAUUAAAACGAAGAUAUGAAGCAAGCAAAGUGAAAGGUUAAUCUGCUUAUAAGACGGAAAUGUAAAAUCGUGUCGCCAUAUUAGUCAUUGGAGUAAAGUCUUACAACGGUUGGAAAUUUAUAUCUUUCAAAUAUAUUCGACGGUCUGGUAAGUUAUAAGCGAAAGCGUUUGUUAAGCAGAAUCUAUAAUAUCGAAAAGUAAUCAAUAGAUAUCCGUUUAUGUUCUCUUUAGUAGACAUCAAUGAUAAUGAAACUCACAAAAGUGAUACUGGAUGAAGACAAAACUGGAAGGGAAAAGAGCUGUAAAGUUCUUAUGAAAUUGAUAUGAUUUAUAAUAUUUCAGAUGAGAAUCGAAUAUAUCAGAGAGAUUUUACGGAUUUUUCACAAGAACUUCCCUACAUAUUAAUUUUGAUUCCAACAUCGUAUAUUUCUGAAAAAUAAAAAAUACAAAAAUAAAAAAAAUGUUAUUUAAAAAAAAAAACAUCUUGAAAUGUCAGUUGUAUUUACUCUUUACAAACGGAGGAUGGAGGAUUCCAUGAAAAUAUCCCUUUCCAUAUGUUUUCCAUCCGACACACACACACAAGUGGGAUAUAAUAUUUUUGUUAUAUUUUCUUCGAUGUAUUGUACCAUCGUGGCUCUCUGAUGAGGAGACACUUUUGAGUUUGUGUUUUUCAUUUUAAUUUCCACGUAAGAAAUCGGUAAAGCAAUAACAACAACUACUACUACUACUACUACUACUAGAGAGUGUAACACAAAAGUAAAGUCUCGGAGAAAUCAUCUUCAUGAAGUACUGUUUAAUCGUUGUGCUUAAGUUGACAUCAGUUGGCUGUGUCAGUCUAGUCAAAGAAAUUAUUUUCAAAUAAAUAUUAAAUAAACUAUUAUUAUUAUUAUUAUUA